GCCGCCUUCCAUUCCCUCUCCGCUCCCGGCCUUGCAGCGCUGCUUGCUCCCCUCCCCCGCCUUGUCCCUGCCGCGGGGCCCGUGCGGGCUGGGUGAGAAUUUCCCCUUGCGGGCUCCAUGUCCCCUUCUCGCCCGCGGUGGCGGGGCGGCGCCCAGCCUCGGGAGAGAGGCAGUAACGCCGCGAGGGGAGCGCUGCUCGGCUCCUUCCAUUGCGGACCAGGCCCCUUCGCCUGGCUAAUCGAGCCGCUGGUUUCAUCUUAAUUCGCCUUCCCUGCCAGCAGAGCCAGAGAAACAGGCGGUGCUACAUUAUCGCGCCACGGAGAAAGAGGAGCUGAGCGAGAUCGCUUGCGCACUGAUGCAGAUAUUUGGAGGCAACAGCGGUCUUCAUUUGGUCUGGACUCUGGCAGAGUUUUCCACAUUCUUCUGCCGUUUCAACAUAUUGGCUCUUUAAAGCAGGAUUAUAAUCACUUUGAGGCCAGGUUUAAAAAAAAAAUCACCCCCUCUCCACCACCAGAGGAAUGACCUACAUCGUUGACCACAAAUAUCCCUUCAAGGAGCUACAUUCUUUGUAAAACUAAUUUGUUUUAUUUUUAACUAAAGAGAGACAAAAUAAUCCUGAAAACCUAAAACCCAAUUGAAGCAGAGAGAAAAAAUUAAAGGGGUGACUUUGUUCUGUUAGCAGUUCCAAGACUGUUUUCAUCCCAAAUACAGGUCACAUUUGCCAACUUA
Long non-coding RNA from Gopherus evgoodei (Goodes thornscrub tortoise), 729 nucleotides. RefSeq lists it as uncharacterized. The transcript has 2 exons. Lineage: Eukaryota; Metazoa; Chordata; Testudines; Testudinidae. The record is from RefSeq and is a predicted model, not a curated record.